AGAAUUUUUUGGAAAUUUUCUCCAAAUUAAAUACAGAAUUAUUUAAUUUACAUAAGUAUUCACAACCUUUGAGUCAAUACCUGUUAGAAACAUCGGUGGCCUCGAUUACAGCUGUGAGUCUUUCUGGGUAAGUUUCUAAGAGCUUUGCACACCUGGAUCAUAAAAAUAUUCAAGCUAUGUUAAGUUGGUUGUUGAUCAUAAUAUAUAAUAAUAAUAUAUAUAAUAAUAAUAUAUGCCAUUUAGCAGACGCUUUUAUCCAAAGCGACUUACAGUCAUGUGUGCAUACAUUCUACGUAUAGGUGGUCCCGGGGAUUGAACCCACUACCCUGGCGUUACAAGCGCCAUGCUCUACCAACUGAGCUAGACAGCCAUUUUCAAGUCUAGCCAUAGAUUUUCAUGCCAAUUUAAGUCCAAACUGUAACUUGGCCACUCAGGAACAUUCACUGUCGUCUUGGUAAUCCACUCCAGUGUAGAUUUGGUCUUGUGUUUAUGUGGUUAUUGUCCUGCUGGAAGGUGCAUUUGCCUCCCAGUGUCUCUUGGAAAACAGACUGGACCAGGUUUUCCUGUAGGAUUUUUCCUGUGCUCUUGGAAAACAGACUGGACCAGGUUUUCCUGUAGGAUUUUUCCUGUGCUCUUGGAAAACAGACUGGACCAGGUUUUCCUGUAGGAUUUUUCCUGUGCUCUUGGAAAACAGACUGGACCAGGUUUUCCUGUAGGAUUUUUCCUGUGCUCUUGGAAAACAGACUGGACCAGGUUUUCCUGUAGGAUUUUUCCUGUGCUCUUGGAAAACAGACUGGACCAGGUUUUCCUGUAGGAUUUUUCCUGUGCUCUUGGAAAACAGACUGGACCAGGUUUUCCUGUAGGAUUUUUCCUGUGCUCUUGGAAAACAGACUGGACCAGGUUUUCCUGUAGGAUUUUUCCUGUGCUCUUGGAAAACAGACUGGACCAGGUUUUCCUGUAGGAUUUUUCCUGUGCUCUUGGAAAACAGACUGGACCAGGUUUUCCUCUAGGAUUUUUCCUGUGCUCUUGGAAAACAGACUGGACCAGGUUUUCCUCUAGGAUUUUUCCUGUGCUCUUGGAAAACAGACUGGACCAGGUUUUCCUCUAGGAUUUUUCCUGUGCUCUUGGAAAACAGACUGGACCAGGUUUUCCUGUAGGAUUUUUCCUGUGCUCUUGGAAAACAGACUGGACCAGGUUUUCCUGUAGGAUUUUUCCUGUGCUCUUGGAAAACAGACUGGACCAGGUUUUCCUGUAGGAUUUUUCCUGUGCUCUUGGAAAACAGACUGGACCAGGUUUUCCUGUAGGAUUUUUCCUGUGCUCUUGGAAAACAGACUGGACCAGGUUUUCCUGUAGGAUUUUUCCUGUGCUCUUGGAAAACAGACUGGACCAGGUUUUCCUCUAGGAUUUUUCCUGUGCUCUUGGAAAACAGACUGGACCAGGUUUUCCUGUAGGAUUUUUCCUGUGCUCUUGGAAAACAGACUGGACCAGGUUUUCCUGUAGGAUUUUUCCUGUGCUCUUGGAAAACAGACUGGACCAGGUUUUCCUGUAGGAUUUUUCCUGUGCUCUUGGAAAACAGACUGGACCAGGUUUUCCUGUAGGAUUUUUCCUGUGCUCUUGGAAAACAGACUGGACCAGGUUUUCCUGUAGGAUUUUUCCUGUGCUCUUGGAAAACAGACUGGACCAGGUUUUCCUGUAGGAUUUUUCCUGUGCUUAGCUCUAUUCCGUUUCUAUUUAUUUAAGAAAAAGCCAUGCUUGUAAAUACGGAGAGUGGUACUAAGUUUCGUUUUGGAUUUGUUCGGGAUAUUUAACAUCUGCUUUAAACAAAAAAAACAAACAUCUACCAAUAGGUGCCCUUCGCUAGGCGUUGGAAAGCCUCCCUGGUCUCUGUGGUUGAAAUUCACUGCUCGACUGUGGGACCUUACAGAUAAUUAAUUAUAUGUGUGGUGUACAGAGAUGAGGUGGUCAUUCAAACAUCAAGUUACACACUAUUAUUGCACAUGGAGUGAGUUCAUGCAACUUAUGUGUCUUGUUAAGCACAUUUUUUUUACUCCUGAACUUAUUUAGGUUUGAUAUAACAAACGUGUUCAAUAAUUGAUUUGUAUUGUGAAAAAAAAAAUGUUGAAAAACAUAAUUCCACUUGGACAUUAUGGGGGCAUUGUGUGUAGAGGUCAGUGACACACAUCUACAUGUAAUCCAUUUGAAAUUCCGGCUGUAACACAACACUAUUAGGGGAAAAGUCAAAAAAGAGUUGAAUUAAAGUCCAAUACUUUCUGAAAGUACUUCAUUUUAAUUUAUUUUGUUGUAUGAGGAGGGUUUUGGACAACCUGCUUUCUUGAAAGGAACGAUAGUGAAGUGCUUCAUUAUCGGUCACACUUGGUGUGUGUGUGUGUGUGUGUGUGUGUGUGUG
Molecule: long non-coding RNA, 2407 nt
Organism: Oncorhynchus keta (chum salmon)
Lineage: Eukaryota; Metazoa; Chordata; Actinopteri; Salmoniformes; Salmonidae
Exons: 3
Source: RefSeq, a predicted model, not a curated record